GUCGGACUAGACUUGAGCUAUAAUAACUUCUCAAGUUCGUUACCGGUCGAGUUGUCACGAAUGCGAGGGUUGAAAUUCCUGAUCAUGGCACACAAUCAGUUCAAUGGAAGCAUACCUGAAGAAUAUGGCAAAAACUUGACAGACAUUCAAGCUCUUGAUCUAUCCUUCAACAGACUCACAGGAAGCAUUCCAUCCUCUUUCGGAGAUCUGAAUUCCCUCCUAUGGCUGAUGCUGGCAAACAACGAGAUAACCGGCCCGAUCCCAAGCAAACUCGGGAAAUGCAGCAGCUUACUGUGGCUGAACUUAGCUAACAACAGACUCUCAGGAACCAUCCCAUCAGAACUGAUGAACAUUGGGAGCAAUCCCGAGCCGACGUUUCGAAAGAAUCGCGAACAUGGCAGGGCUUAUACUGGUGUCGGAGAGUGCACGGGGAUGAAGAGAUGGAUCCCUGCUGAUUAUAACCCGUUCAGAUUCGUAUAUUCGAUCCUCAACACCAAGAGCUGCAAAAGCUUAUGGGACAGAUUGUUCAACGGGAAUGGAAUCUUUCCGGUUUGUGCUCAUGGAACGACGGUUAGAACGUUAGAGAUCUCGGGAUAUCUCCAGCUUAGUGGCAACAUGUUAUCAGGUCACGUCCCUGUAGAAAUCGGCAAGAUGGAGAAUUUCAGCAUGCUGCAUUUGGGAAUCAAUAACUUCACGGGGAAUUUACCUCUCCAGGUUCAACAGAUGCCUCUAGUGGUUCUCAACUUGACAAGAAACUCAUUCCAAGGAAUCAUUCCCAGUGAGAUAGGUAACAUAAAAUGCUUGCAGAAUCUGGAUUUCUCCUUCAAUAAUUUCUCAGGAACGUUCCCUACCAGUGUAAACAACUUGACCGAGCUGAGCAAGUUCAAUAUCUCGUACAAUCCAUCGAUUUCGGGGAUCAUCCCGACGACUGGCCAGUUGGCAACGUUUGAAAGGGACUCGUUUCUCGGAGACCCGCUGCUUGUUCUCCCCAAAUUCAUUAGCAAUUCGUCUGAUCGAGGAUCAAGGGAUCGCGAAUCGGGCAAGGAUAAGACUGUUGUUCACACGAAAUGGGGAGCAUUCUUGAUAUUGACAGUUCUGGU
This 1100-nucleotide long non-coding RNA is filed under the name Linum usitatissimum (flax). RNAcentral describes it as "long non-coding RNA (LUSI_LNC002204)". The record is from RNAcentral. Lineage: Eukaryota; Viridiplantae; Streptophyta; Magnoliopsida; Malpighiales; Linaceae.